Sceloporus undulatus (fence lizard) is the source of this 733-nucleotide long non-coding RNA. RefSeq lists it as uncharacterized. The transcript is spliced from 3 exons. The record is from RefSeq and is a predicted model, not a curated record. NCBI's taxonomy places the organism in Eukaryota, Metazoa, Chordata, Lepidosauria, Squamata, Phrynosomatidae.
AGCUAGUUAAUUCUCAGUUUCUGAUUUUCCAUACAGGUUCCUGCAAAAGACCUAAAGAAGGAUCCCAAAAAACCAGUAUGUGGUUGUCCAGGCUAUUUGUCCUCAGUUCACGCUUGAGAAGGUGGUUCUGGUCUCCUUCCAAGUGGUUACCUCUUCAUCCAGACGGACAAAACACAUCUACACACCUGGAUCUUCAGUGCUCUAUCGUGUCUUCUCUUAUGGGUCAUGGCCUGAACGUUUGGACAAAAACGUGAUUGUUGAAUUUGAGACACCAGAUGGCAUUGUUGUCAGCCAGACUAUUACCAAUCCUUCAUUACAGAUCACCCAGUCGUACCAUGUACCUGAGACUGUCAGGUAACUGAUUAUGGAAAUUGCCCUACACCAAGCAUAUACAGAAACUAAGUUGGAACAGCAAUCAGUGAUAUAAGCUUACUAAUAUGUAUAUGGUGCCGUUUAACCCAAUUUUCUGAUUUCAAAUUGAGCUAUGAAAACUCUGAGCAAUCUCACACAUACUGUGUUGCUGUAUUUGCCCAUCAUAUUUUAUCCCCUCCUUUUCAAUAAAGAACUUAGGGUAGUAUAUAUGAGGCAUUAUUCCAUUUUAUUUCUACAAAACCGAGCAAGAAGGGUAGGCAAACAGUAUGGAUGAAGGAAUUUCCAUUAAAACCACCCACGAGCAAGUCAGAAUUUGAACCUGGGGUUUGCGGCAGGGCAGAUUUCAGCUUCUUCAUGUCUG